CACGUAGGGUGCGAGCGUUGUCCGGAAUUAUUGGGCGUAAAGAGCUCGUAGGCGGUGUGUCGCGUCGGCCGUGAAAACCUGCAGCUUAACUGUGGGCUUGCGGUCGAUACGGGCAUCACUGGAGUUCGGCAGGGGAGACUGGAAUUCCUGGUGUAGCGGUGAAAUGCGCAGAGUAUCAGGAGGAACACCGGUGGCGAAGGCGGGUCUCUGGGCCGAUACUGACGCUGAGGAGCGAAGCGUGGGGAGCGAACAGG
RNAcentral lists this ribosomal RNA (254 nucleotides) under uncultured bacterium. Its description in RNAcentral is "partial 16S ribosomal RNA". It matches the Rfam family "Bacterial small subunit ribosomal RNA", at positions 524 to 776 of the family's 1533-position model. The record is from RNAcentral.